Molecule: ribosomal RNA, 728 nt
Filed under: uncultured bacterium
Lineage: Bacteria
Description: partial 16S ribosomal RNA
Rfam family: Bacterial small subunit ribosomal RNA
Source: RNAcentral
UGCAGUCGAGCNNNNGNUGAAGAAGCUUGCUUCUUCUGAUUUUANNGNNNNNNGGGUGAGUAACACGUGGGCAACCUACCUUGUAGAUUGGGAUAACUCCGGGAAACCGGGGCUAAUACCGAAUAAUCCAUUUUGCUUCAUGGCGAAAUGUUAAAAGGCGGCGAUCUCGCUGUCACUGCAAGAUGGGCCCGCGGCGCAUUAGCUAGUUGGUAAGGUAACGGCUUACCAAGGCGACGAUGCGUAGCCGACCUGAGAGGGUGAUCGGCCACACUGGGACUGAGACACGGCCCAGACUCCUACGGGAGGCAGCAGUAGGGAAUCUUCCACAAUGGACGAAAGUCUGAUGGAGCAACGCCGCGUGAGUGAAGAAGGUUUUCGGAUCGUAAAACUCUGUUGUAAGGGAAGAACACGUACGAGAGUAACUGCUCGUACCUUGACGGUACCUUAUUAGAAAGCCACGGCUAACUACGUGCCAGCAGCCGCGGUAAUACGUAGGUGGCAAGCGUUGUCCGGAAUUAUUGNGCGUAAAGCGCGCGCAGGCGGUCCUUUAAGUCUGAUGUGAAAGCCCACGGCUCAACCGUGGNGGGUCAUUGGAAACUGGGGGACUUGAGUACAGAAGAGGAAAGCGGAAUUCCAAGUGUAGCGGUGAAAUGCGUAGAGAUUUGGNGGAACACCAGUGGCGAAGGCGGCUUUCUGGNCUGUANCUGACGCUGANGCGCGAANGCGUG